CAGUCAGGAGCUUGUCUACGUCGAGUGUGGUACGAGGUGGAGCAUGAAACGCUAAUGAGGGAACGAUGGAGUUUGAUAUAACCUCUAGUCUUACGAUGAGCCAUUCCAAAGAGGCAGAGGGACGCUCUGGCAUCCAGAAAAAAGUGCCACGAGUGGUCUUUUGGACGGAUCUUCCUGCACAGACAGACCCUUUUCAAUGCAGACAGUAAAGAGGUGUGACGCCAAGGAGGAUGAAGUCGGGAGACAGACACACGUCCGAGGAGUGAGUUCCUGACAAUCCGAUGAGAAAGUGGAUAUAAGUCAAGUAUAUUUUAAAAUGUGCAUGCAGUUGAGCAAGCCGGUCAUUUUCCUGAGAUAGCUGGGAAAUGUCACUAUUCACUGAUUAAAGAAUCUGUCUCUCGGAGCAGCUGAAAGGUAUAUGACCCUGCACCUUCUCAUUCCAAUAAACUCCACGAACACAAAGAGCAAGCAGUCAACUCUACUCCAGAGUCUGACUCAGAUGAAUUCUUUGGCUGCAAAAUGUCACAGCUAACAGCAGGCAUCAUUGACGAGGACCCAGUCCCGAGAAUGACCUCAUGCUUGGUGCAGAAGAGGCUCAGACAAAGAGAAGAAAACCUCUGUCCUUGGAUAAAGCUUCCCUUUUCAUAUGAAGUGAUUGAUUAUUAUAGGAUGUGUGUGCUCCUGAUAAUAUUGUUCCCUUUAUAGCCUUGUCGUCUGUUGUUUGGCUGAUAACAGAACCACAAGAGAGAGUUCAUUUUAAGAUACGAGUGGUGACUAAGGGCCAAUUCACAAUAAAAAGUAAAAAAUAAAAGAGAAAGAUACAUUUAAAACGUAAGAUGAGGAACAUCCUUCAUUUUGUGGAUUGACAGACUGUCUAUCACAGUGGGUUGAACCGUAGGACAAAAGGACUGGGCAGUGUUUUGCUCAGCUGUAGGUACGGUCCCUUUGAGUCAGGAUCAACUGAGUUAUUGCUUGUAAUGCCAGGAGGCCCAA
Molecule: long non-coding RNA, 993 nt
Organism: Echinops telfairi (small Madagascar hedgehog)
Lineage: Eukaryota; Metazoa; Chordata; Mammalia; Afrosoricida; Tenrecidae
Exons: 4
Source: RefSeq, a predicted model, not a curated record